Molecule: ribosomal RNA, 854 nt
Filed under: uncultured bacterium
Lineage: Bacteria
Description: bacterial SSU rRNA
Rfam family: Bacterial small subunit ribosomal RNA
Source: RNAcentral
GGGACUGGAAUUCUCGGUGUAGCAGUGAAAUGCGUAGAUAUCGAGAGAACACCAGUGGCGAAGGCGGGUCCCUGGACAACACUGACACUGAGGCACGAAAGCUAGGGGAGCAAACAGGAUUAGAUACCCUGGUAGUCCUAGCUGUAAACGGUGCAUAUUUGCUGUAAAAGGAAUCGACCCCUUUUGUGGCGUAGCAAACGCGUUAAAUAUGCCGCCUGGGGAGUACGGUCGCAAGAUUAAAACUCAAAGAAAUUGACGGGGGCCUGCACAAGCGGUGGAGUAUGUGGCUUAAUUCGAUGCAACGCGAAGAACCUUACCUGGCCUUGACAUGCACAUAGUAGAAGCCUGAAAGGGUGACGAGGUAGCAAUACCAGUGUGCACAGGUGCUGCAUGGCUGUCGUCAGCUCGUGUCGUGAGAUGUCGGGUUAAGUCCCGCAACGAGCGCAACCCCUGUGUCCUGUUGCCACCCCUUAAUUGGGAGCACUCUGGACAGACUGCCUCGCUUAAACGAGGAGGAAGGUGGGGAUGACGUCAAGUCAGUAUGGCCCUUACGGCCAGGGCUGCACACGUACUACAAUGCCCGGCACAAAGGGAAGCAAGACCGCGAGGUGGAGCAAAUCCCCAAAAACCGGGCCCAGUUCAGAUUGAAGGCUGCAACUCGCCUUCAUGAAGCUGGAAUCGCUAGUAAUGGCGCAUCAGCUACGGCGCCGUGAAUACGUUCCCAGGCCUUGUACACACCGCCCGUCACAUCAUGAAAGCCGUUUGUACCCGAAGUCGUCGUGCUAACCGCAAGGAGGCAGAUGCCGAAGGUAUGGAUGGUGAUUGGGAUGAAGUCGUAACAAGGUAACCAAGGG